Molecule: long non-coding RNA, 2838 nt
Organism: Anguilla anguilla (European eel)
Lineage: Eukaryota; Metazoa; Chordata; Actinopteri; Anguilliformes; Anguillidae
Exons: 2
Source: RefSeq, a predicted model, not a curated record
AAUUAGGUAAGCUAUUAUAAAAUGUUUGAAAUAACCACUUAGGCUAAAAACAUGAAAAUAUUUAAUUAACCACCUAUUAUCACUGAUGAUGUCAAAUCGCAUUUCUUUAGCCACGCUAAAAAAAAAAAAAUGUAGCCACGCCAAUAAAUUCAGUGGCACGGUGCACAUUAAGCUUUAGGUAUACGUUUCCGAAAUGCUUCAUGAGAUUCACCUGCUGCGGUUACGAUUCUUCAUUUGUACAUUGCAUAUUUAACACAGUGCCCCUGGUAAUACGAAUGACAGACAACUUCCCAAAAAUGGCUCGGAAUAGCCACGGUGGGAUUCAUGCGGACAGCCAAGCUUGGUGUUUACUUUGGACCAUUCGCUCCUGGCGUUCCGUGCCCUCUAGCUAUUUUCCCUCAUCUUUUCCAUUGUUUCCAAAAGCUUUGCCAAGAAGUUGUUUGUGAAGUCCGAGAAGCCACUACGAAGGGUCGAGGUUUCUGGUGUCAUUGACCGGUGUAUUUUUUGCAGAUGUCACGGUUGCUUUACUGAAGUCUGGUAUCGAUUAGUCACAGUGAAUAUUACCCUACACUCCGAGCUCGCACUCCGCAGCAGCUGUUGGGAUGUCAGAAAUAUAAAUCACGACUGCAGUCCCCGAUGGAUGGGCGGGGGUGUGUGGUGGAGGAUCUCGUUCGUGGAACUAGGAAGGGACAUCCUGAAGAAACGGCCGAGUCACGGCUGCGCUGUUUGGAAACAGAUGAAAUAGCGAAGUGUUGUCCUAAUGCAAAUAGGAAGUCACGUGUGCAAGAUGGUAUCUGAAGUCAGAAACUCGUUUGGGAACGGUUUGUAUUAAGGACGUGACUAAUAAGUGUUCUACAGAAAGGUUGGUGUGUCUCUAGUAGAUUAAUUUGUUUAUGCAAACAUGUAUUACUGGAAUGGUGACUCCAUUCUCCCUAAAUGCACGGACCAAUCCUUUUGUCCUCCAGCGUUAACAUGGUGUACGUUAAAGCUUGCUUCAGGGCGGUGGCCACAUGUGAAAUGGCCAAAGCCGUCUUUGUUCAAUCUGAGAAUGUGCCAGAAUUUCCUUUACCAGUAAGCCAUUGUUCAUUGCCUGUAAAGACUAUCAUGUUGGUUUAUAUUCCUAGAAAGAAUAGUGCAAUUCCACAAUAAUGUUUGAUGAAUUAAAAAAAAAACGAAAAACAAUGAUUUCCGAGACAAUUUAACUGCGAAAGCUGCAUUGCAAAAUUAGAUUAUUGUUUUAAUAUGUGUUUAGGAUCAUAUUAUGGGCUCAGUUGUCCUUUGUGUAUACACAUCAUCAUAUUACAUUAUAUAUAUAUAUAUAUAUAUAUAUAUUUACAGAACUUUCAACCUAUGGAAACUUAAAUUGCUUUCUUAUUACAUAUUGUAAAUGAUAUGACUGUAGAGUUACAGGUAAGUACCACAUGAGGAACCAAGUCAAGAUAUUACAGAAGUGCUUCGCUGGGGCUGACACCACUUUUUUUUUUCUCGCCAAGCUCAAUUCCGUCACUUUUAUGUCUAAAAAACUGAAUAGAAAACAUAACGUCCUCGUUUUUAAAACAGAGAGUGCACAUCCAAUUCAAGAAAAAAAGCACUAUGCUUCAAAUACUUCAAUGGGAAAUUUUCAUGACUAAAUGAAGGAUUAGACAAGAUAAAAUAAGAUUUAUUUUUAUUUUUCCUGAAGGAGCUUCAGUUGUGAAUCCGACUGUGUCCCCCCUAACUAAUAAUAGCAUUUGUAGUAAAACCACAAAUAAUAUUUUGUAAUUUAUGCACAAUUAUUGUAAAUAUGUGGCUUAAAUUGCAUCCAUUUUGAAACUUAAUUUUUUGACAGAUGUUUCUGGCCUGUAUAGGACACACAUCAAAAAGAAGGAUCAAGAAGUCAAGUCACCAUGGAAACAGCCUUGCUCUCCAGCUCAGGUGUCGGCAUGUGCCACGUCCAGGUCGUGCCAAAGUCCACCUCCCUGCCUCACCAGCAGCCAGUGAGAGCCCUGCAUUGGCCUGGAGCUUCACCAGAUUUGAGCCACUGCACAACUGCUGCUUAACCAUAGAUUUCCUGCAGGAAGUCUUGUAUCAGGGGUGAAAUGGAGCUAGACGAGCACUUCCAGCCCCUCUCACUUCGACACCUGAGAUGAAGAAUGGACCACAUGUGCGCUCCCAUUGUUUGCAAGAGAUGAAAAGGCUAACUUAAACAUCUCCUGAGUACAGAAGAAGGAUGUCACAAUGCAAGAAGUCACUUGGUAAAUCAAGGUGGCUCCAUCUUUCAUUUUCCUUCCUUUUUUAUUCCAAAAUGCCUAGUGCCUCACGCAUUUUUUUUUUUGGUUGUUUUUCCUUAGUUUCCAGAAUCUGGAGUUGGUUUUUAAGCAGUAUUCCCAGCUGAACCUUCACUUAAUUUAGUAUAAUUUGUUCUGGGCAUAAACCGCUGACCUCACUUGCAACCUCAUUCAUUUGCUGCACUCCUGAGGAAUGCAACUCAAAGUCUUAAAAAGUGUGAAAUGGUUCAGUGUUUUUUUUACCCCCCCAAACCUCUGUCACAAGAGAAAAAAUUCUAAUGAUUACACGCAAUUGCCAUUCUGCAGCGUCUUGUGUUGUUUUUAAUGCACAACUGAACAAAUAUUGGGACAAUUCAAUGUUUGAUUUCCUAUAAUUAUUUUAACUUGAAAAUAUACACAUUUGGGCCAACCUUAAAUUGCAUUUGCAGAACACAGCUUUCGGACUAAAGAAAUAAUGCUUUGUAUCUGUGUUUUUAUAAUAAAAAGGCACAAUUGCCUUGCGGUGUGACUCUCUGGACACAGUACAGAGACAGACAACUUAAUUGUAUGCUCUACAUUAAAUAAAUGCCUC